CUUAGCUGCCUCUCCUCCCGUGGCCUUCGGCCAGCCGCCGCCGCCGCCGCCGCGCGACCUCUGCUCCUCCCCGGCGUCGAACUCAGGCCGCCGCUCCGUCCCCUGUCCCCGUCGCACCUCCCCUCAAGCCGCCGGCUGGCCCUCUCCCACUCGUCCUCCUCCCUGCUCCCAUUCCUCCCUUGUGUGGGAACCCUAGCCGCUGCCCACUCCCACUCGUCCUCCUCCCCGCUCCCCUUCCUGGCGGCGCACCUGACCGCCGCGCGACCUCUGCUCCUCCCCGGUGUCGGACUCAGGUCGCCGCUCCGUCCCCCGUCCCCGUCGCACCUCCCCUUGAGCCGCCGGCUGGCGCUCUCCCUUCACCGGAGGAGUUGGGUGAGGCCGUGAGGAGCGGAGGCAGUGGCUUGUUGCAGACGCUGCUGCGGCUCCCUUUUCUUCCUCGCCAUCUUCUUCGCCUCCCUCCUCUGCACCCAAGUAAUGCGGCCAGCCCUCGUCAACCCCGGCUAGCGGAUUCAUUAGCCUUCUACUCCAAUCGCUACCCCGAGAUCCAUCGUUGUUGUGUUGUUGCUGGUGAGAGCUGGGAGGAAGAGAGGGAGGCAAAGGGAUGGAGAUAGACAGGGGAAGGAGAAAGGGUCUUUCUCUGUUGAUCUCCUUUUUGUGGCGUGGUAUGGCAGGAAAUUUAUCCAUCCACCCGUGGUGAGAACUUGCUGUCGCUGGUGCUAAACUGGUGUUGCUGCAGCAGACAAAUGCCAUGGAUCAAGUGCCAUUCAGAUGUUGCAGGAGUCAAGUGUGUGUAAAUCUUAAAGAUUAGACCAAUGGAUAUCAAAGAAAAGGAGCUCGACCAGGUGAAGUUUACUCUGUAUGCACAAGAAGUGAACUGCGGUACAAUUCUUAAACACUUCGUUUUAUCAUGUAUGCAGCAUUGAUAUGGCUAUGCAAUGUUAGCCCAAAAUAGGCAGCAGUGCAGUAUACUAAUGUGAAAUCUUAUCAUUCUGGGGUUGCACUUCCUGUGGUGUUUAGACUCCCAUUAUUUCCCCAUAUGUUACAUAUAUAUAAAUAUGUUAAACCAGACCUACCUAUAUACCAAUAGAAGUACACUCAUUGUGUGAGGAGCUCUGUAUAUUGCUCACUUGGAAAGUAUAGGAUACUUCUUUUUCCUACACUUAAUAUUUAUCUUUGUAGAUCGAGAGCAUUAUUAGGCAGUAAUCUUAAAACAUACUUUCUAGAGUUAAUUUUAUAUUUCUUGGUAAUAACUUUAUAUUAGGCCUGCAAACUAACUACUAUUGCAACUAUGCAACAUCAGGAGCACACCCUAUCAGCUUAAAUCACAAGGCAUGGAAAGUUAGUGUGUUCCCCGAAAUAUUGUUGGUUUUGUUAAAUAGAUGGCCCUCUUAGCAUGGCUAUGGUACCAUUCAUAUCCUAGAAGUUGUAGCUUCCAGCCUUUUAGUAACUACACAAAACUGCCAAAGCUUCACAGCCAUCAUGGAAUCACCACCGGUCCUCCCUUGCUCAAGUCAUGGAGGGGCAGCCGGUACCGGUGGGUGAGGAGAUCCACGACUGGACAACAUCAUGUUCUGUUUAAACCUAUGCCUCCCCAGGGAAUCACCACCGGUCCUCCUUUUCUCAAGUCAUGGAUGGGCAGCCGGUACCGGUGGGUGAGGAGAUCCAUGACUGGACAGCGCAGACGCCCAGAUGGCGAGGAAGACGAGUCAUCGUCGCUGCCAACCUCCACCUCGGCCCCCACACCCCUGACGCGAGCUUUGCCUCCUCUGCCGCUGUUGCAUCUUCUCCAGUGCCUCCUCCCCAUCGGACUCGUCUGCCUCCCUGUCAUGCAGGUGCUCCUCGCGUGGCCAUGCUUUCAACCUCUCUCUCUGUCUCUGUUGUGUGCAUCUCCCUCAAUAGCCACUGGAUGUUUUAUCUGGUCCAUUGUGAGAUUUGCCAUACAUGAUUAGUAAUAAUAGUAUGUUAAUUUGAUGGGUAUAAGCAUUAGUGAGGUGAAAUAUAUAGAUUUUGGAUUGAUUUACAGGUUCUUCUAAUGAACACACUGAGAUGGGUGUAGAUUUUCUGUUCGGUAUGCAAUCAUAUGGCAAGUGUGUUUAUUUUGUUGGGCACCCGUGUCCUUUGCUCCAUGCAAGAAAUGUGAGAGUUGAGUUUUGGGUGAUUGUCUACAUAUAGUGUUCUUGCAUCUUAGUGUGAGUUGCGUCGGAUGGUAUUGUUUUCUCAAGGGAAUAAAUUCAUAUGCUUGGUAAGAAAAGGUUCAAUCUACAUGCACCAUGAGUUAAAAGAUAACUUUGAUGAGUCAGAUAGAUGUAGUAUGAUCCACAACCAUAGUUCUGAUCCACACAAUGCAUGAUAUUCCACUUUAGCCUGAGUCUUGUGGUUAGUACUUGCUACUUCUCCCUGAAAUAGAAUUCAUACCGACACUUUGUAUGGUUGGUUACAAAGAGCCACAACUGUACCAGGAAAUCUAGAAACCCAACUGGAUAUGCCAAAAAAUACCAAUUCCUAGAACGUCACAUAGUGAUUGAAUUUGCGGCAUUAAAUACAUUCACUGUGCUGGAAGUACAUUACCCUGUGUAUAGUACAAGGAGUACUCUAAAUAUCAGUAGUGUUAUGCAAAUGAAUUUGACACCGUCUCCACAUCAGGUCUAUCUUCUUAAGUAUGUCAGUCAAAUAAACAACACAUGUGCUACUCCAGGGCAAAGAGUGGUGCGAGCUAAUUUACAUAUUUUCCUAUGUCAUGAUGCACUUUCCUUAUACACACCAACUAACUUCAACUUUCCUAUGAACCUAUCAAAUAUGAAGUGUGUCGUACCGAGUUGGAUAUAACUAUCACUGCAUUUUAAAUAAGUUAGCUCUUUCUCUCUGGUUUGUUAGUUCUAUGAAAAUAUAUUGCUAUAUCUUAAGCCUGUUAUUUUAGUCUCUCUUUCUCUUUGGUGUCAUAAUGAUAUGAACUUAUAUUUUGCUGCAAGAUUAGAGAGAUUCUUUUUAAACUCAACCUGUGUCAUAAGCUACUUGGUUCCUUCUCAUUACUUGGAGGAUGCAUGGAUUGGAGAGAUUAUGGAUGAGGACUGAAUUAUGUGUUGCCAUGAUAUCUUUUAAUUUUGGUCAUCUGUGUAGCUAUGAUAUCUUAGAAGAGUCCCAGUGUGUAUAUUUUGGUGAUCUGUAUCAUAAUAAGGAAGCAAAUUGAAUUAUACAGCGUCAAAACCCAUCGUUUGCAAUGUUAUGCAGUUCCUUUUGAUGGAAAAUUUUAGUUUGUUGUGUAUUUCUAAUGGACGCGAUUAUGAAUGAGAACUGAAUAAUGUGUA
This is a non-coding RNA of Aegilops tauschii subsp. strangulata, 3305 nucleotides long. Lineage: Eukaryota; Viridiplantae; Streptophyta; Magnoliopsida; Poales; Poaceae. The record is from RefSeq and is a predicted model, not a curated record.